UACGGAGGGGGCUAGCGUUGUUCGGAAUUACUGGGCGUAAAGCGCACGUAGGCGGCUUUGUAAGUUAGAGGUGAAAGCCCGGGGCUCAACUCCGGAAUUGCCUUUAAGACUGCAUCGCUAGAAUUGUGGAGAGGUAAGUGGAAUUCCGAGUGUAGAGGUGAAAUUCGUAGAUAUCGAGAGGAACACCGAUGGCGAAGGCAGCUUCUUGGUCCAUUCCUGAUGCUGAUACGCGAAAGCGUGGGGAGCAAACAGG
RNAcentral lists this ribosomal RNA (253 nucleotides) under uncultured bacterium. RNAcentral describes it as "partial 16S ribosomal RNA". It matches the Rfam family "Bacterial small subunit ribosomal RNA", at positions 524 to 776 of the family's 1533-position model. The record is from RNAcentral.